RNAcentral lists this long non-coding RNA (234 nucleotides) under Lathyrus oleraceus (garden pea). RNAcentral's name for it is "Pisum sativum (pea) long non-coding RNA (PSAT_LNC034884)". The record is from RNAcentral. Lineage: Eukaryota; Viridiplantae; Streptophyta; Magnoliopsida; Fabales; Fabaceae.
GGGAAGAUGACAGGAGCUCUGGCUCCGGCGAUGAUGUGUCUUGCAUCUGAACCAUAGGAUCCUCAAGCCACGUUUUAAUCUGAAGCGUUUGUUUUAAUUACCAAUGGUACCACGCGGUUGACUCAAGAACACAUGGAGCGUGCAUUUUGGAUCAUCAGAUCUGCCACCUCAAUUAAUGAGGGAGAUCUGAUGGCCACGUAAUUUAUCAUUUUCUGAAUUUUAUUUUAAUUGCAU